CCCUUAGAUGUUCUGGGCCGCACGCGCGCUACACUGAUGCAUUCAACAAGCCUAGCCUUGACCGAGCGGUCCGGGUAAUCUUUGAAACUGCAUCGUGAUGGGGCUAGAUUAUUGCAAUUAUUAAUCUUCAACGAGGAAUGCCUAGUAAGCGUGAUUCAUCAAAUCGCGUUGAUUACGUCCCUGCCCUUUGUACACACCGCCCGUCGCUCCUACCGAUUGAAUGUGUUGGUGAGGAGCUCGGAUUGGCAGCAGUUGGUGGUUCGCCACCGGCUAUUGCUGAGAAGUCCUCCAAACCGCCCCAUUUAGAGGAAGGAGAAGUCGUAACA
This 326-nucleotide ribosomal RNA is filed under the name uncultured eukaryote. RNAcentral's name for it is "partial 18S ribosomal RNA". It matches the Rfam family "Eukaryotic small subunit ribosomal RNA", at positions 1470 to 1796 of the family's 1831-position model. The record is from RNAcentral.